AAACAGGCAUUUCUUGGGGCAGCCGCUCGCGGAGGCCCGGAAGGCCGGCGAGCGGAGGCCGGGCGCAUGCGCCGUGAGCCUCCAGUGCUUAGCGCGGCGCGGAUCUGUAGUUUUUUUGCGUGGGGUGUCGUAGGCGUUUUUUGAGAGAACGUGGGAAGUUAGGGCUGGAAGGCGUCUCUAAGGUGUUCCUAGGCCAGCACGAUCGUCUUCUAAAGGCAGACAGGGUCCUAAGCCAAAUAUGGAAAGUUAUGGGCAGAGCAAGCGCCACAUCACAUCACCUGUCAUCUGACCCAGUCCUUUGCCUUUCAUUAGCUCUUUUCUAACCCCGAUCUCCCCCACAUCUUGUAUCGAGAUCUGGGCUCUCCCGGUUCACUGGUGAGCCACAAGGAACUGCGCAGAUGUGAACCAGAAAACAUUGACUGAGGGCCUCCAGUAUGCCAGGCAUUUUGGAAUUUAAAGAAAGCCUGUGUGUUAGGCAGUGACCCCAUUUAAGUUUGAGAUUGAUAAAUGGCCACAUAGCUAGUGAGUGGCGGAGUUGGGAUCGCAAGAGGUUUCAGUGUAAACAGGCAAGGGGCAUCAGUAUCCCAUGAGUGGUGGUGAUCUGGGAAGACUUCCAGAAAAGAUUGAAUUGGUGUGUAACAGAAGCUCUCUACUACACGGUUGAAACUUUAUAGUUUAAUACGACCGGAAGCAAACAUUGUAAUGUAGGAAAGUGGCAUUUGAUGAGAAAAACAUAAUGUAAAGUGAAAAGGCAAGAUCUUCAGUGAAGGCUACGUGAGAGGUCGGAGAAACCGGAGGAACAAGGUUAAAGCUUGAAUUUCUGGACACACAGAAGGGUUGCUGGGCACUGUUGGCAACCACAGAUUUGUGUUCACACUGCUCUAAAGACUGUCAUUUUCCUACAACAGUGGUCUGGAGCUUGGAUACUGGAACAGAGGGGAAUGACUGGGUUAAUCCAGGUUGAGGUCUUACGUGGCAGAGGUAUAGAAACAAAGGGCAAGACAGGGAACAUGGUAGUGAAUGAUGAAAAUGAAAGACCUGGGGUUUAGGCCUGAUAAAGAAAAGUGAAGCCAGAAGUGAACUGAUUAGGAAAACACAUGCCCCAAGACUCAUCUGGGUAACUCCAGGACCAGAAGCCUGGUAAGGCAGGUCAGCCAGGUGACACACAUUUGAUAGCACCUUGAACAGAAGUGAAGGUCAGAGUCCUCUAAAAUUUCAAGGGGAUUUCUGAGACUGCCACUAGCUUUUCAUACCGUAAUGAAGGAAGUGAUAACAAAGGUUGUAAGUCAGGUGUUCAUUUAUUAAAUACAAGCUUUGAACAAACACCCCCAGGCAAGUUUGACAAGAAGUAACCUUCCUGGAAUGUUUCAAAAUACAGUUACGUUGAUCAAAUUUCAUUUCAAUCAACCUUUUUGUUGUUUUGUUUUAUUUUUUUGUUUAUUUGUUUCUAGGUUUUCCUGUGUUGCAGUUAGAGCAUGUGCAUUAUUUCCUCAUAUGACAUCAACAGUGCAGCGUCAGCCUCUCUGGCUUGUAAAGGCACCCAGUAGACUUCUGCUCUGGGCAAUGGCUGCUUAGCAACCAGCAUCAAAUAAAGUAAUGAAGCUUUUGUAGACUGUGAUACCAAAUAGGAACUGGCACCUUCACCUGCACCGGUAAAAAACUUUUAAAGUUUCUUUGUUUUUACAUAUCCAUUAAAAACUAUAUAUAUUAAAAAAAAAAAAAA
This is a long non-coding RNA of Felis catus (domestic cat), 1723 nucleotides long. RefSeq lists it as uncharacterized. The transcript is spliced from 2 exons. Lineage: Eukaryota; Metazoa; Chordata; Mammalia; Carnivora; Felidae. The record is from RefSeq and is a predicted model, not a curated record.